RNAcentral lists this ribosomal RNA (497 nucleotides) under uncultured bacterium. RNAcentral describes it as "partial 16S ribosomal RNA". It matches the Rfam family "Bacterial small subunit ribosomal RNA", at positions 28 to 507 of the family's 1533-position model. The record is from RNAcentral.
GAUGAACGCUGGCGGCGUGCCUAAUACAUGCAAGUCGAGCGAACAGAUAAGGAGCUUGCUCCUUUGACGUUAGCGGCGGACGGGUGAGUAACACGUGGGUAACCUACCUAUAAGACUGGGAUAACUUCGGGAAACCGGAGCUAAUACCGGAUAAUAUUUCGAACCGCAUGGUUCGAUAGUGAAAGAUGGUUUUGCUAUCACUUAUAGAUGGACCCGCGCCGUAUUAGCUAGUUGGUAAGGUAACGGCUUACCAAGGCGACGAUACGUAGCCGACCUGAGAGGGUGAUCGGCCACACUGGAACUGAGACACGGUCCAGACUCCUACGGGAGGCAGCAGUAGGGAAUCUUCCGCAAUGGGCGAAAGCCUGACGGAGCAACGCCGCGUGAGUGAUGAAGGUCUUCGGACCGUAAAACUCUGUUAUUAGGGAAGAACAUACGUGUAAGUAACUGUGCACGUCUUGACGGUACCUAAUCAGAAAGCCACGGCUAACUACGUG